This is a non-coding RNA of Physcomitrium patens, 4208 nucleotides long. NCBI's taxonomy places the organism in Eukaryota, Viridiplantae, Streptophyta, Bryopsida, Funariales, Funariaceae. The record is from RefSeq and is a predicted model, not a curated record.
UCCGGGAGCUCGGGUAAACGCGGGAUGAUGUUGUCGUCGAGGGGAGGAGUUGAGAGCGGAACCGAAUUAAAAACUGUACAGAUCUAAACCGUAAAGCUGCAUAGAAUUGGUUGCAGCGAUGGCGGGGGGCUAUGGCAGGAGCCUGCCGACGUAUUCUUCGUCACUGCCUGGCUCAAACCGCAAAGGUUCUAAGCGACGAAGCGCCGGGAAAUCUCCGCCAAUGUUUAGUUGGAGUUGGUUUGUGCGCCCUCGGACUUAUCUCACGCUCGCGUCGGUAGUGUUCACGUUCCUGUUUCUAUUCCAAGGUGGGUUCAUCGUGACGUCGAUUUCGAAGGCCACGAGGAAGAACCCAGGUCAGAAUUUGUCUAGCAUUUUGGAGUCGCAGUUGCGGAAGAAGGUGUUUGAGGGUAAGAGGAAUGGGUCGUCGGCGCACGUUGGGGAGGCUGUGGUGGAUAUCACCAUGAAGGCCUUGUAUGAUAGGAUUGCGUUCGACGAUCGCGAUGGUGGGGCGUGGAAGCAGGGCUGGGACGUCCGUUACGAUGGCCCCGAAUGGGAUGAGGAGAAGCUCAAGGUGUUUGUUGUGCCGCAUUCGCAUAAUGACCCCGGGUGGAUUCGCACCGUGGAGGAAUAUUAUCAGGAGCGCACUCGCCACAUCUUGGAUACCGUUGUUGCGUCUUUGCUCAAGGAUCCGCGCAGGAAAUUUAUCUGGGAAGAAAUGUCAUAUCUUGAGAGAUGGUGGCGAGACGCUACGCCACAAUCAAAAGAAGAUCUCAAACGCUUGGUCAAGUCCGGGCAACUGGAGAUUGUGGGCGGUGGUUGGGUGAUGAAUGAUGAAGCCAAUUCGCAUUAUUUCGCAAUUAUUGAGCAGAUGACAGCUGGUAAUCUUUGGCUUCUGGACAAUGUGGGGGUGGCGCCAAAGAAUUCGUGGGCAAUUGAUCCGUUUGGUCAUUCACCGACAAUGGCGUACCUCCUCCGGCGAAUGGGUUUCCACAACAUGCUAAUUCAAAGAACACACUACGAAGUGAAGAAAGAGCUGGCGUGGAACAAAAAUCUUGAGUUUAACUGGCGCCAAAGCUGGGACUUUGACAACUCAACCGACAUUUUCUGUCAUAUGAUGCCUUUCUACUCCUACGAUAUUCCCCAUACUUGUGGUCCCGAGCCAGGCGUUUGCUGCCAGUUUGAUUAUUGGCGGUCCCCCGGAAGGGCAGGGUACUGUCCGUGGAACAAGCAACCACAAACUAUCACCGACGAGAAUGUGAAGGAACGGGCAGAGCUUUUGUUGGACCAAUACCGGAAAAAAUCGGUUCUGUACCGUUCAAACACUCUUCUUGUGCCCUUGGGUGACGACUUUCGGUACAUUGAGAUGGCAGAAGCUGACCUUGCAUAUGAGAACUAUCAAAAGAUUUUUGAUUACGUUAAUAGUCAUCCUAAUCUCAAAGCUGAGCUGAAGUUUGGAACCCUCGAAGACUAUUUCAGCACAUUGAGGCAGGAAGCCACCAAAAAAACUACUACGAAAGAGUUCUCAAAUAGUCCUUUGAGUGUACCUGGGUUUCCAUCUCUUGCUGGUGAUUUUUUCACAUAUGCAGACAUUCAUCAAGACUACUGGAGCGGCUAUUAUGUGACCAGGCCGUUCUAUAAAGCAGUGGAUAGGGUUCUUGAGCAAACUCUUCGGGCGGCUGAUACCCUCUUCAUGCUCGCUAGGGCCUUUCAUGGGAAUGAGAUCGCAACUUUGUCUGGCGAUGUGCUUGAGCGGCAACGACGAAACUUGGCCCUGUUUCAGCACCACGAUGGGGUCACAGGCACGGCCAAAGACCAUGUGGUUGUUGACUAUGCCAACAAAAUGCACGAUGGCAUUGUAGAGCUGGAAAGCUUAAUGGCUGCCAGUGUCGGAGAAAUACUUGGCCAAAAGGUUCGCUCGACGCCUCACUUAUUCGAGUCUGUAGAGCUGAGAAAAAGCUAUGACAUGUUGCCAGUGAGUAAAGUGGUGGAGAUCAAGAACUUCAAAGUUCAACGCGUUGUGUUCUAUAAUCCUCUGGAGGAAACACUUCAGCAGGUGGCCAUGGUUAUGGUAGACAAUCCUGCAGUAUGUGUUUUCGAUUCCUUGGGCAAGCCUGUUCAAAGCCAGUUAAGCCCAGACUGGGGCGCAGGUAUCACCGCCUCCUUCACGUCGAAGAAUCAUCGGCUGCACUUCCCCGUUACGGUAUCGCCCUUGGGAUUGGCUACGUACCUCAUCACUGCGGACACUGACAACUGCGACACAGCUUCUUUAUCAAGUGUUUCUGUGUUCAACGAACCCAGAGAUUUCAUGUGUCCAGACCCUUAUCUGUGCACGUAUCACCCUGGCGGCCAUGAGCGAGUCUCAAUCAGCUCCUCACAACAGAGUCUCGUUUUCUCCACUCAGACAGGGCUAUUGAUGAGUCAUAAGAGCUCGAAUGGAAAUGAGUUGCCCGUUGAAGAGGAGAUUGCCAUGUACACUAGUCAAGGAAGCGGAGCGUAUUUGUUCCGCCCUCAAGGAGAAGCCGCUCCCCUUGUGCAAUCGGGUGGUCUCGUGCUCGUUUCGAAAGGGCCACUAGUGGAGGAAGUGCAUUCAGUGCCGAAGUUCAACACGCUUGCACCGCUGGUACGGUCAGCGCGCCUCUAUGCUGGGAAGACUAUCCAAGCUGCUUCGGCUGAGUUUGAAUACUACGUGGAUUUUGCUAGGAAUGAAUUCAAUGAUCGGGAAUUGAUAACUAGAUUUAAGACAGACCUCAACAACAAGCGCAUCUUUUACACUGACUUGAAUGGAUUUCAAACUAUGCGGCGGGAGACGUAUAGUAAGAUACCUUUGCAAGGGAACUACUACCCUAUGCCAUCGUUGGCCUUCUUGCAAUGCCCUGGAGGAAGACGCUUCUCAAUCCACAGCCGGCAGGCUUUGGGAGUGGCGAGCCUGCACAAAGGUGAGCUUGAAAUCAUGCUGGACAGGAGAUUGAUACACGACGAUAGCCGGGGCCUCGGACAGGGCAUCAUGGAUAACCGCCCCUCUCGUGUUGUGUUUCAGUUACUGGUUGAGCGGAACACGUCUUUUAGUUCGCCAGCUUCUGACUUUCAUUCCAAGGUGCCAUCGCUUCUCUCGCACCUCGUGAAUGACCAGCUCAAUUAUCCGGCUCACUUGUUUUUCGACACUCCGCAGCCGUUUACUAGCAUUCAAGCAACAACGCUAAACAAUGACAUGGAUACGAGUUUCGCACCACUGCGAAACAGCCUCCCUUGCGACCUGCACAUCGUCGCCAUGAAGACCCUGCGGCCGUCUCAGGCUUCUCCAGGCGAGGAUUACACCCAUGGCGUCCUAUUCCAUCGCCGUGGUGUGGACUCUAGCUACCCAAUGAGUGACUCCAUUACGUGUAGUACCAUGGAGAAGCAAGGCUUCGACGUCUUUACUCUCUUCUCCCCACAGAUUGACAUCACAAAGCUACGCAAAAGCUCCCUGUCCUUUGUUCAUACUGAUGGUCGGGAAGUCACACUGCAAAAAGAUGCAGCCCAUCGGAAGCUUGGUCUUGGGGGAGCAUUUGUAGGGCGCUCUGAGGGGCUUCUCGAUCUCAGCCCCAUGGAACUUCAAGCUUUCAAAUUUAAGAUAAAAUCUGUCGGGUAAAUUUGCCAGCAAUUCAGCGAUUUCACCAAUUCAAAAGUUUUACGCAGCAAAUGCUACAAACUCGUAACCCCCAAGCCCCCAAGCUCGUUAGUCUUCACCGAUGUCGGUACGCUUCUCUGAGCCCUUAUUGGCUAGAUGACGGAGCUGGGGAUGGAGCCCAACGGAGGAUCCUUCAAGUACAUCCUUCUAGUGACAAGCAGCACAGCCAGCCAGAGCAUUCCACGUCCUUUCCUGCGUAUUGAAAUGGCAGUUCUCGGGACCGUCUACAGAUUCUUUGCUAUGCAUCUGGAUCUACGUAGCUUCUAAUACCAUGGAUCCUACUAACAGAAACCAGAUCGAGUCCUAACUCUCCGUUACCUUCUCCGACACGCCAUGUUCCGUUCAGUUUCCACCCUUGAAUGUCCAGGCGAAGCCCAACAGAGCCAGAAGGGUGUUUGUGGUGCAGAUUGCAGGUCCUACGAACUUCAUCAAGCUGCAUAAUAAAGAGACUCGAACAGUUCAUUGAAAAUUUUAACAACCCUUUUAUGCUGUGAUUCUUAUCAUAUUUAUACAAUGGUAAACAAUUUUUAUUUUGUUUGAA